GCAUACACUACACUAGACCUUACCCUAAUUUCCUAAACACAGCCGCCAUCAAAACUAUUGUCAUCGUCUCUACCAAAGAUGCGGUGAUCUCCAGUCUCCCACCGACGGUCCACGGUUGCCAUCGUUUCUCCCAAUCUCUUCCGUCACUUCUCCAUCGCCUCUCUCUCUCUCACACACACACACAUAAAAACCCUAAACGGUGUUGAGGAGUCUUUUUGUUUCUUGACCAGAUGCUGAGCAGUUCUGGAAAUCGCUAUCUCAACCCGUCUUGUUGGCCAAGUCGUCACUCCUGCCGUUUCUACUUCGACCCUAACCAUCACCUGCUUGUGUGUAUCUCUAACGCCUACAAGUUACAUUUUCAUUUGUGGUAAUCGAUCGGAUUUGGCAGUUUAAGGGUUUGAUUUGAAGCUCAACCUGAAAUCGAUCGUCCUUUGUUGUCUGCAUCUCUGCCAUCCCGACGAAGAACAUAGCAAAAGAGACCCACACAUAAGAAAUGUUCAGGUUUCUUUACUCAUUCUCCGCACCUCAUCUAGAUGUUUCAGGUUUCUUUUUUCAUUCUAAUUUUGACUCCUCCAUCUAUAUUUGUCUCUUUUGCAGGUAACUGAAAUAUGAAUGAUUCUUUUUGACGUCCUUACCCCUUGUGCCCUAAUACCAUUCGACACCCACACAUCACAAAUGUUAUAUGGUUCAAACCUCCAGCUACUUCAGUCAUUUCCUCCACCACUCCAUGGAAUUCCUCUGUUAGAUCCACCAAUUCAUUGCCUUCCUCAACAUGUAAGCUUCUCUUAUCCAUCGCUGAACACCUUUUCUUUCUUCUCUAAAUUAUUUUGUUAUUUUAAAUUGAUUUGUUAAGCUGUUUCUUCUAUAAAAUAAAAUCGAUUUUGAAUCUAAUUUUAACAAAAAAAAAAAUUAUUAUCUUCUCAACUCUAGAUUGUCUAUUAUUAGGGUUUUGGAUAAGGAUGGGAUUUCACUUUAGAACAGCUUCAUGGUGCUCUUUGUUUGCUUCGAAACUCACCAAAUCUGGAAAUCUUGUAUAUAAUGCACAUGAAGGUGGUAAAGUAACAAUUGAUAAAAUUAUAUAAUUAUACAAGAGUUGGCAGCUAAUAUGCAGUUGCAUUUUUAUGUUGUUUCAGGAGACUGGAGUUAAUUUGGGACCAGCUUCAAAUCAUUUGAAAAGCUUGUAUUCACUAAAACUCAGAAGACCAAUGCUAGGACUGGAGGUGAUG
This 1226-nucleotide long non-coding RNA is filed under the name Lactuca sativa (garden lettuce). RNAcentral's name for it is "long non-coding RNA (LSAT_LNC006024)". Lineage: Eukaryota; Viridiplantae; Streptophyta; Magnoliopsida; Asterales; Asteraceae. The record is from RNAcentral.